CAGUAGCCGCGGGAAUACGAAGGGGGCUAGCGUUGCUCGGAAUGACUGGGCGUAAAGGGCGCGUAGGCGGCGGCCAAAGUCAGGCGUGAAAUUCCCGGGCUCAACCUGGGGGCUGCGUUUGAUACUUGGUUGCUUGAGUGGGGAAGAGGGUCGUGGAAUUCCCAGUGUAGAGGUGAAAUUCGUAGAUAUUGGGAAGAACACCGGUGGCGAAGGCGGCGACCUGGUCCUUUACUGACGCUGAGGCGCGAAAGCGUGGGGAGCAAACAGGAUUAGAUACCCCAGUAGUCCCUGUCUCUUAUAC
This 301-nucleotide ribosomal RNA is filed under the name uncultured bacterium. Its description in RNAcentral is "partial 16S ribosomal RNA". It matches the Rfam family "Bacterial small subunit ribosomal RNA", at positions 509 to 807 of the family's 1533-position model. The record is from RNAcentral.